AUACGUAUGGUGCAAGCGUUAUCCGGAUUUACUGGGUGUAAAGGGAGCGUAGACGGAGAGGCAAGUCUGAUGUGAAAACCCGGGGCUCAACCCCGGGACUGCAUUGGAAACUGUCAAUCUGGAGUACCGGAGAGGUAAGCGGAAUUCCUAGUGUAGCGGUGAAAUGCGUAGAUAUUAGGAGGAACACCAGUGGCGAAGGCGGCUUACUGGACGGUAACUGACGUUGAGGCUCGAAAGCGUGGGGAGC
RNAcentral lists this ribosomal RNA (247 nucleotides) under uncultured bacterium. Its description in RNAcentral is "partial 16S ribosomal RNA". It matches the Rfam family "Bacterial small subunit ribosomal RNA", at positions 523 to 769 of the family's 1533-position model. The record is from RNAcentral.